UAGGGGCUCUGGCUGAAACCAAUCAGGCUCUCAAAUCCUUGCCACUGAUCUGCCUUGAAGCUCAAUCCACUUUCUUCUUUAAAGAGCAAGGAUUUGUCUGGAGAGAAGAAAUCUGUUUAGAAUCAUCAGAAACCAUAUAUGAACUGAUGAUCAAAGCAUGCUGUUCUCAUCAUCGGUCUGAUUUGGCUACUGACAUGGUGACAUGCUGGAAUGUUUCCUCAGAGAUCCAAGAGUAAAAAGGAAGCAACAACAACAAAAAAGCACAAAGAGUUCAGAACAAGUAGGUGCCUUCCAGUAAAGUCUACAUGAAGGAAUUGACUUCCUUGAAUGCCUUCAAAACCAAAUAUUUGCACUAUAGGACAGACAGACCCAUGGAAUACUCUCCUGAACCUCCAAUGUUUGUUUAAGCUGGCAUAAAAUCCUAGAAAAAUUCCAGCAAGGCUCCCUGUGGCCACCACCAUCCAGAAACAAAGCCCAGAUUCAUUACUGGCCCAUUACCUGAAGCCUUGACUGGGAAACUUGGACAGAGAGGCAAACAUGAAUGGAGAUAUGUGAUGAGUGGAGUUAUGCUGUCACAGUCAAGCAACCAUCAGAAGCUAGGAGAGAGAAAUCAUUCCCCAGUGUCUUCAGAGGGAUCUUGGCCUUGCUGAGAACUUCAUCUCAGACUUCUACUUUCCAGAACUGUGAGGUGAUAAAUUUCUGUUAUUUAAGCUGAUCGGCUUGUGGCACUUUGUUAUGGCAGCCCUCGCAAACUAAUACACUCUCUUCUAAGUGCCUGCCUGGAAUUCUUC
Callithrix jacchus (white-tufted-ear marmoset) is the source of this 791-nucleotide long non-coding RNA. RefSeq lists it as uncharacterized. NCBI's taxonomy places the organism in Eukaryota, Metazoa, Chordata, Mammalia, Primates, Cebidae. The record is from RefSeq and is a predicted model, not a curated record.